This 261-nucleotide ribosomal RNA is filed under the name Clostridioides difficile. RNAcentral describes it as "partial 23S ribosomal RNA". It matches the Rfam family "Bacterial large subunit ribosomal RNA", at positions 2178 to 2437 of the family's 2925-position model. Lineage: Bacteria; Bacillati; Bacillota; Clostridia; Peptostreptococcales; Peptostreptococcaceae. The record is from RNAcentral.
UGGCGGAGCCAUCCUUGGGAUACCACCCUUGUAGUACUGGGACUCUAACCAUAGGCCAUGAAUCUGGUCUUGGGACACUGUCAGGUGGGCAGUUUGACUGGGGCGGUCGCCUCCCAAAAGGUAACGGAGGCGCGCAAAGGUUCUCUCAGUACGGUCGGAAAUCGUACGUAGAGUGUAAAGGCAAAAGAGAGCUUGAUUGCAAGACAUACAGGUCGAGCAAGGAUGAAAAUCGGACUUAGUGAUCCGGUGGUUCUGCGUGGA